GUCGGGAGGCGGGCGCCAUACAAGACCCGAAAGGGGAAAACGUCCGACCUGUCUCUCUGGCAGGUUGCUACCCUCCCGGCGCCAGGCG
Molecule: non-coding RNA, 88 nt
Filed under: Methyloligella halotolerans
Lineage: Bacteria; Pseudomonadati; Pseudomonadota; Alphaproteobacteria; Hyphomicrobiales; Hyphomicrobiaceae
Description: sRNA-Xcc1
Rfam family: sRNA-Xcc1
Source: Rfam by way of RNAcentral